Molecule: ribosomal RNA, 301 nt
Filed under: uncultured bacterium
Lineage: Bacteria
Description: partial 16S ribosomal RNA
Rfam family: Bacterial small subunit ribosomal RNA
Source: RNAcentral
CAGUCGCCGCGGGAAUACAGAGGGUGCGAGCGUUAAUCGGAUUUACUGGGCGUAAAGCGUGCGUAGGCGGCUUCUUAAGUCGGAUGUGAAAUCCCUGAGCUUAACUUAGGAAUUGCAUUCGAUACUGGGAAGCUAGAGUAUGGGAGAGGAUGGUAGAAUUCCAGGUGUAGCGGUGAAAUGCGUAGAGAUCUGGAGGAAUACCGAUGGCGAAGGCAGCCAUCUGGCCUAACACUGACGCUGAGGUACGAAAGCAUGGGGAGCAAACAGGAUUAGAUACCCCUGUAGUCCCUGUCUCUUAUAC